Marmota monax (woodchuck) is the source of this 4054-nucleotide RNA transcript. It is a transcript of the gene named leucine rich repeat transmembrane neuronal 1, with no coding region annotated. The transcript is spliced from 2 exons. NCBI's taxonomy places the organism in Eukaryota, Metazoa, Chordata, Mammalia, Rodentia, Sciuridae. The record is from RefSeq and is a predicted model, not a curated record.
CCCGCCGCCCGCACCACCCCGCCGCCCGCAAAGCAUGAGCGAGCCUGCUCUCCGCAGCUGCCCAGGGCGCGAAUGGCAGGCGGUCUCCGCGGAGUAAAAGGUGGCGCCGGUCAGUGGUCGUUUCCAAUGACGGACAUUAACCAGACUGUCAAAUCCUGGGGAGUCGCGAGCCCCGAGUUUGGAGUUUUUUUUUUUCCCCCCACAACGUCACAGUCCGAACUGCAGAGGAAAAGGACGGCGGCAGGAAGGCGAAGCCCGGGCUCCGGCACGUAGUUGGGAAACUUGCAGGUCCUAGAAGUCGCCUCCCCGCCUCGCCGGCCGCCCUUGCAGCCCAGAGCCGAGCAGCAAAGUGAGACAUUGUGCGCCUGCCAGAUCCGCCGGCCGCGGACCCGGGCUGCCUCGGAAACACAGAGGGGUCUUCUCUCGCCCUGCAUAUAAUUAGCCUGCACACAAAGGGAGCAGCUGAAUGGAGGUUGUCACUCUCUGGAAAAGGGUGGGUAAGACACUUUUUAAUUAAAUUCUUUCCCGAAGAUUUUUUUUUUCCUCCCUUUUCUUUGCUGCAGCAUCUAACAUGGACCAAAUCACCAUCUCUUUGAUCUUUCCGUGGCUGUGAACUUUCUAUGCCGCCCAGCUUUCUGCAUGCUUAGAGGUGAACGUGUGGUUUUUGGGGAGGGGGGUCCUUCUUUAUUUCUAUAUAUUUAUUUGAUUUUUGCCCUUUUCUCCCCCUCCCCCCGCUCCCCCUCCCUCGGAAUAAAAUAUGAUGUAGAUUUCUGACCGAGCGCUUCCAAUGGACAUUCUCCAGUCUCUCUGGAAAGAUUCUCGCUAAUGGAUUUCCUGCUGCUCGGUCUCUGUCUAUACUGGCUGCUGAGGAGGCCCUCGGGGGUGGUCUUGUGUCUGCUGGGGGCCUGCUUUCAGAUGCUGCCCGCCGCCCCCAGCGGGUGCCCGCAGCUGUGCCGGUGUGAGGGGCGGCUGCUGUACUGCGAGGCGCUCAACCUCACCGAGGCGCCCCACAACCUGUCCGGCCUGCUGGGCUUGUCCCUGCGUUACAACAGCCUCUCGGAGCUGCGCGCCGGCCAGUUCACGGGGUUAAUGCAGCUCACGUGGCUCUAUCUGGAUCACAAUCACAUCUGCUCGGUGCAGGGGGACGCCUUUCAGAAACUGCGCCGAGUUAAGGAACUCACGCUGAGUUCCAACCAGAUCACCCAACUGGCCAACACCACCUUCCGGCCCAUGCCCAACCUGCGCAGCGUGGACCUCUCGUACAACAAACUGCAGGCACUCGCGCCCGACCUCUUCCAUGGGCUGCGGAAGCUCACUACGCUGCACAUGCGGGCCAAUGCCAUCCAGUUCGUGCCCGUGCGCAUCUUCCAGGACUGCCGCAGCCUCAAGUUUCUCGACAUAGGAUACAAUCAGCUUAAGAGUCUGGCGCGCAACUCUUUUGCCGGCUUGUUCAAGCUCACGGAGCUGCACCUGGAGCACAAUGAUUUGGUCAAGGUGAACUUCGCCCACUUCCCGCGCCUCAUCUCUCUGAACUCGCUCUGCCUGAGGAGGAACAAGGUGGCCAUUGUGGUCAGCUCGCUGGACUGGGUUUGGAACCUGGAGAAAAUGGACCUGUCUGGCAAUGAGAUCGAGUACAUGGAGCCCCAUGUGUUCGAGACAGUACCGCACCUGCAGUCCCUGCAGCUGGACUCCAACCGCCUCACAUACAUCGAGCCCCGUAUUCUCAACUCCUGGAAGUCACUUACAAGCAUUACUCUGGCGGGGAACCUGUGGGACUGCGGGCGCAACGUCUGUGCCCUGGCUUCCUGGCUGAGCAACUUCCAGGGGCGCUACGACGGCAACUUACAGUGCGCCAGCCCGGAGUACGCACAGGGCGAGGAUGUCCUAGAUGCCGUGUACGCCUUCCACCUGUGCGAGGAUGGGGCCGAGCCCACCAGCGGUCACCUCCUCUCGGCAGUCACCAAUCGCAGUGACCUGGGACUCCCUGACAGCUCGGCCACCACGCUCGUGGACGACGGGGAGGGGCAGCGCGACGGCACGCCCGAGCCAGCCACCGUGGCUCUCCCUGGCGAGCACGCUGAGAAUGCCGUGCAGAUCCACAAAGUGGUCACCGGCACCAUGGCCCUCAUCUUCUCCUUUCUCAUCGUGGUCUUGGUGCUCUACGUGUCCUGGAAGUGUUUCCCAGCCAGCCUCAGGCAGCUCAGACAGUGCUUUGUCACGCAGCGCAGGAAGCAAAAGCAGAAACAGACCAUGCAUCAGAUGGCUGCCAUGUCUGCCCAGGAAUACUACGUUGAUUACAAACCUAACCACAUUGAGGGAGCCCUGGUGAUCAUCAACGAGUAUGGCUCUUGUACCUGCCACCAGCAGCCCGCGAGGGAAUGCGAGGUGUGAUCCUCCCAGUGGCUCUCAACCCAUGCGCUACCAAAAACGCCUGGGCAGCCGGUCGGGCCGGCGGGCACCAGGCUGGGGUCUCCUUGUCUGUGCUCUGAUUUGCUCCUUGACUGAAACUGUAAGGGGAUCUCUCCCAGAGACUUGACAUUUUAGCUUUAUUGUGUCUUAAAAACAAAAACGAAAUAAAACACAACAAAACCCCACCCCACAACCUUCUGGACAGUCUAUCUUAAAUUUCAUAUGAAAACUCCUUCCUCCCUUUGAAGAUCUGUCCAUAUUCAGGAAUCUGAGAGUGUAAAAAGAUUCAAUACCCCUGUCUUCUUUUUCUGAGCGUACCUCUCCCCAACAGCAUAUACCUGCUUGAUCUUCUGAGAACUUAAACAGAGACUCCGGGAAGAAAGUGGAAGCAGAAGUCCAGCUUGGUUCAUUGAGAAUCACCCGUACACCAUAUCCUUGCCACUGAGAGUGCACCAUUCACUUUUCUGAGCCUUCAAGCACUCUCUUCCCCUAUGGUCCUGUAUCUGUCAGCCUGUGAGACAACAUUCUUGGAUCCCACGGCCAAGCAGCCCUGAACUCCAGCACAAUUCAGCCACACAUGGAGCAUCAAGCAGACUGCUGGGCUCCACCUGCUUCUCCAGGGUCACCAACCCAAAGGAUGAAGCAGAUGUAAGACAGGGAAGGCACCUGUCUUUGUUUUCAUUUUCUACCAGGCCCAGCUCUUUGGGAAAAAAAAAAAAAGAAGAUUCGUGCUCCAAGCUGGUGCUGCCAAGCUUCCUCCUCUGCCUUCCUUGUCCAAGCACUCCACCGUCUGUGCAGACUGCAUAACAGCAAUUUCUGGAAACUGGCUGCAGAAUCUGGGCCAGUCCAGAGGCAAUGAAUCCUGGUAUCUGUGUGGUGGGGUUUUAAGGAUUGUAUUUUUCACCUUAAUUCUUUUAACUACUGCCAGGUCUUUGAAGCACAUCUGUCACCAACAGCUUCUAUUUGUAAAAUGAGACUGAAGCUAUCGUCUCCAGAGAAAUUUCGGAAUCUUCUCUUGUAGUUCAAUGCUUUUUCACUAACAGCUUGGCUCACAAAGUACGACUGCGGUAAAUAUUAAAGAAUGUUAAUAAAAAUGAGAUAAAACACCCAGGGAUCUCUUUUUUCCCCCCCAAAUUCUGCUUUGCUCACUACAAAAGUUUAUCUUGACAGGAAAUUUACUUCUGUGAUCCACAUCAUUUCCCAAAGCAAUUUUCCAACAGCAAACAUAAAUUUGUGGAGAUCGCUAAGAGGUUUUUCAAUCCCUGUGCGAAGGAGGUCAUGGGGUUUCCACUGUUUGUCUCACCUUCAGGUAAAUGUCCCAUACUUGGGACACUCUCACAGGGGAACCCUGAGCAGCCACUAAAGGUCAAGGCCUGGAAGUGUGUUUUUGCAUUUCUAACAUAAACAGAGUUAGCAGGGGGAAAUGAUUUGAGCAUCAAGAUUAAAUCUUGGGAUGGUAAUUAAGUCAUUAACUAAGAAAAUAAUUGCCUAAGCCCACAGAUCUGCACUCUCCAAUGGGAUGAAGCACUAAGUAAAUGUAAUGGCUUUACAUUGCAGUGACCUUUAAGCUGGUUAAUACAUACAUUUAUACUCUACCAGAAGUGCAAAUUAAGUACUUAUCAUGAGAUAAAAUUUGUGUUCUCCU